This 513-nucleotide ribosomal RNA is filed under the name uncultured bacterium. RNAcentral describes it as "partial 16S ribosomal RNA". It matches the Rfam family "Bacterial small subunit ribosomal RNA", at positions 28 to 523 of the family's 1533-position model. The record is from RNAcentral.
GAUGAACGCUGGCGGCGUGCCUAAUACAUGCAAGUCGAACGCACAGCGAAAGGUGCUUGCACCUUUCAAGUGAGUGGCGAACGGGUGAGUAACACGUGGACAACCUGCCUCAAGGCUGGGGAUAACAUUUGGAAACAGAUGCUAAUACCGAAUAAAACUCAGUGUCGCAUGACACAAAGUUAAAAGGCGCUUUGGCGUCACCUAGAGAUGGAUCCGCGGUGCAUUAGUUGGUUGGUGGGGUAAAGGCCUACCAGGACAAUGAUGCAUAGCCGAGUAGAGAGACUGAUCGGCCACAUUGGGACUGAGACACGGCCCAAACUCCUACGGGAGGCUGCAGUAGGGAAUCUUCCACAAUGGGCGAAAGCCUGAUGGAGCAACGCCGCGUGUGUGAUGAAGGCUUUCGGGUCGUAAAGCACUGUUGUAUGGGAAGAACAGCUAGAAUAGGGAAUGAUUUUAGUUUGACGGUACCAUACCAGAAAGGGACGGCUAAAUACGUGCCAGCCGCCGCAGUAA